This 441-nucleotide long non-coding RNA is filed under the name Brassica napus (rape). Its description in RNAcentral is "long non-coding RNA (BNAP_LNC025549)". The record is from RNAcentral. Lineage: Eukaryota; Viridiplantae; Streptophyta; Magnoliopsida; Brassicales; Brassicaceae.
UGAUUCCCUACAUAUAAAUGUGCUAUCGCCUUUGUGCGGCAUAUCUUAUUUAUCAUUGUGUUACUAGUGUAAUGGUUAUUAAUAGAAUGUGUAAGUUAAAUGUUAUGAUUUGUGUGGUUAUGUACAUGGCAGUAGUUGAAUGGCAUCCGCAUAGACUAUUAAUCUAUGAAAGGUGUGUAGUAUGGUCAUAUUGCAUUUGUAGUAUAUAUUUAUGUGUUUGUUCUGAGCUGACACAUUGGAUUUGUGUUAUCUUGUUGGUGUUUGAUUCCCUCGACCGAAAUGUGCAAUCUGCUUAGUGAGUCAAAGCUUAUUUCUAAAAGUUUAAAUUGGCUGUGGAAGGUAUCUAGAAUUCAGAAGUGGAAGGGUAGAGUUGAGUGGUUUGGGUCAUGGAAGAAACGAGGGACUAUACGCUCUCAGUUAUGUUUGCACAUCAAAACUAUU